RNAcentral lists this ribosomal RNA (254 nucleotides) under uncultured bacterium. RNAcentral describes it as "partial 16S ribosomal RNA". It matches the Rfam family "Bacterial small subunit ribosomal RNA", at positions 524 to 776 of the family's 1533-position model. The record is from RNAcentral.
UACGUAGGGUGCGAGCGUUAAUCGGAAUUACUGGGCGUAAAGCGUGCGCAGGCGGCUUUGCAAGACAGAUGUGAAAUCCCCCGGGCUCAACCUGGGAACUGCAUUUGUGACUGCAAGGCUAGAGUACGGCAGAGGGGGAUGGAAUUCCGCGUGUAGCAGUGAAAUGCGUAGAUAUGCGGAGGAACACCAAUGGCGAAGGCAAUCCCCUGGGCCUGUACUGACGCUCAUGCACGAAAGCGUGGGGAGCAAACAGG